AACAAAAAGUGAAUCUAUUUCGAGUUAUUCUGGGUAUUGCAGACAUCCGCACAAACUUAAUAUACCCAUACGCCAGACAUGGUACAGGGUAUUAGAACUAACGUCAAUAUGAAAAUUAUUCUUUUUUACUUUUAGCCAAAUUUUAAUUAAGCAAAAUAAUGACUGGAUUUUCACUUGAGAAUGCAGUUCAAAUAUCCAAACAGUCGAAUGAAAACAGAAUACGGGCCAAUUGUCCGCUAAGCUCGAUAAAGUGGACAAUCGAUUUUUUCCAACAUUUAAGAUGACCGGUCCCGUGUAACCUCCUUUCUAUAUCAUGCUUAAUUGUUUGUCGUUGAGGAAAAAAAAGUUACAAAAUGAUGUCAUUUUUAUGAACACAGUUUACCUAAUGGUCGGGAGCUAAAUGUUAACUUCCUAAGGAAUUUUAAUUGACUACAAUGUUUUUUUUUUUUUUACAUUUAAUAACAAAGGGAGUCAAUUAUAAACACUUUCCGAAACGAUAAAAUUCAAUUCGAUUUGCAUCAAAAUAAGACAUGAAUAAUGAGAUGAAAUUUGUUCUAGAAGGUUUUUUAAUUAAUUUACGUUGAAAAACAAAAAUUUGUCAAAAGGAAAAAUAUUUGACAUCAGAUUCGAUAAAUUAUAUGGGAAAGUGUUUUUAUAUCCAACAGCGAAGGAUGAGAGGUAUAUUCAUUUUGUCAAAACGUUCGCAACUCUCAGAAGAAAGCCUCAGAGACAACACAAAACACAUAUUUUGUUGAUCAGCAUCAAAUGGUGAAUCGAGUAAGGGAUGUCCGUCUGUCCUUCUGUCCGUCUGUGUAAUACUUGUUGCAUUCCCUUGCCAUAAAAAUGGAGGAGCAACUUUGUACGCGGGCUGGAAUUGAAAAUGGGCCAAAUCGAUUAAAGUACAGACCUAGGGUACCACAUAAAAAGGAUGGAAAAGUUGUUUCUUUGAUCAUUUCUCACAAGCUAUAAGAGAUACAUUUUUUAUAAAAAUUUAUAUGUGUUUUCUAUGGGUAAUGCUGUAGUGGCUGUGCAAAAAUCGAGAAUAUCGGUAACGCCUACCCACUAUUAUAGUGUACAAAAACCUAUUUUUUUUUUAAUAUCUCUAUAACGCGCGGAUGACGGCUUCAAAAGCCCCAUAAUGUUUGUAAAUUCUUGUACAGUUUCGAAAUCGGAAUGCAUCUAAGCAUGUACGUCUGUUCAUCACUCCAUGUGUACGUCUCCCCGACUUUGUGGCAUCUACGGUAAACCUUCUCUCUAUCGUAAAAAUUGCAAAACCUGAUAAAGAACGCGCCUACAACGCCCACAUACCUAUGAAAAAAAAACACCGUUUUGUUUUGGCUUAUUGCUGAUAGAUUACAACACUGUCCACUUUUAUUCUGAAAAUAGAAAAACUCAUCCAAUAUCGUAGAGUGUGAAAGCUUAUCUAUUUUUCUUUGGUCUUUUUUUUUAGAAUAACGGUGAUAUGGAAGACUUUCUAAGAAAAGGGAGAACGAAGUACAUAUCCAUGGUGCGUUAUAUGUGUCAUGCAGCAUUUAGCAAAAAUUUAGCAGAAAAACGGAUUAAAAAUGUCACAAUGAACUCAGAUAAUGAUAAUUGGGAGGGCAAAGUUAGACGAAAAAGAAGUCAAAAAGUUUGGAAAGUCGCGAGAGUCGGGCCAACAGAGAUAAAUCGCAACCCUCGAAUGGACAAGACCAGGACGAGAAUUAAAUCGUUGUAACAUACAAUUUCCUGCAAAUCGUUUAUCCAUACAUCUCAACGUUUCAAACAUUUUCAUAAAACAAGAAGAAGAAGAAGAGGAUUGGUACUUUGGGCCUCGGUGAGCAUGGCUAAUUUUUCUCAUUUUCACAGUCCAUAAGUAAAGAGGGAAGAGCUCAUAUUUUUGUUUGAAGCAGCAUUUCCUUUUUUUGGUCACACGUUAAAUACCAUUGUGGAUAUGUUCUAAGACCGAUAUGGAUUAAUUUCAAUAUUGAGCAGCGUGCAAUCUCUUCCCCGAACACAAACGGACACAUCGACAGAUCGCUUCAGAAUCUGAUAUAGAUCAAGAAUAUUUUCACAUAAAUAUGCCGCCAAAAAAAAACAAAAGCCUUCAACUUCUCACUGUAAGAACUAGUUCAUGAGGCAGCUUCGGAAUUAAUUUUAACCAAUAUCAGCGCAUGUAAAAACCAUGGGUGAACUUUCCUGGAAGCUAUCUUCUACAAUUUCUUUGGCAUAGAAUUGAAAAAUAAACAUAGCACCAAUUUUUCUGUCCACUUGCGCAUUGUAGCCACUGUUACGACAAACAUUAAAUAGAAUGCUGAUCAAUAGUAAAAGUGGUUGAGGCUUCCUUAUGGAUACUGUAAACAAUGACAACACGACCAACCAGAUUCUAAAGUAAUGGACAUAAAAAUACCUAUUUGCGUGUUAUAGUCAGAAUACGUACAAUAAGUAAAGUAAGUAAGUA
This is a long non-coding RNA of Glossina fuscipes, 2440 nucleotides long. RefSeq lists it as uncharacterized. NCBI's taxonomy places the organism in Eukaryota, Metazoa, Arthropoda, Insecta, Diptera, Glossinidae. The record is from RefSeq and is a predicted model, not a curated record. The transcript is spliced from 2 exons.